CUAUACGUUGCCUCGGCGGAUCAGCCCGCGCCCUGUAAAAAGGGACGGCCCGCCCGAGGACCCUAAACUCUGUUUUUAGUGGAACUUCUGAGUAAAACAAACAAAUAAAUCAAAACUUUCAACAACGGAUCUCUUGGUUCUGGCAUCGAUGAAGAACGCAGCAAAAUGCGAUAAGUAAUGUGAAUUGCAGAAUUCAGUGAAUCAUCGAAUCUUUGAACGCACAUUGCGCCCGCCAGUAUUCUGGCGGGCAUGCCUGUUCGAGCGUCAUUUCAACCCUCAAGCUCAGCUUGGUGUUGGGACUCGCGGUAACCCGCGUUCCCCAAAUCGAUUGGCGGUCACGUCGAGCUUCCAUAGCGUAGUAAUCAUACACCUCGUUACUGGUAAUCGUCGCGGCCACGCCGUAAAACCCCAACUUCUGAAUGUUGACCUCGGAUCAGGUAGGAAUACCCGCUGAACUUAAGCAUAUCAAUAAGCGGAG
Molecule: ribosomal RNA, 478 nt
Filed under: Fusarium sp.
Lineage: Eukaryota; Fungi; Ascomycota; Sordariomycetes; Hypocreales; Nectriaceae
Description: eukaryotic LSU rRNA
Rfam family: 5.8S ribosomal RNA (bases 114-267)
Source: RNAcentral